CCUCCGGGCUGCAGCAGUGGGGGAUAUUGAACAAUGGGGGAAACCCUGAUGCAGCGACGCCGCGUGAGUGAAGAAGUAUUUCGGUAUGUAAAGCUCUAUCAGCAGGGAAGAAAAUGACAGUACCUGACCAAGAAGCCCCGGCUAACUACGGGCCAGCAGCCGCGGUAAUACGUAGGGGGCAAGCGUCAUCCGGAUUUACUGGGUGUAAAGGGAGCGUAGACGGUUAUGUAAGUCUGGUGUGAAAGCCCUGCGCCCAACCCCGGGACUGCGUGUGAAACUGUGUAACUGGAGUACAGGAGGGGCAGGCGGAAUUCCUGGUGUAGCGGUGAAAUGCGUAGAUAUCAGGAGGAACACCGGCGGCGAAGGCGUCCUGCUGGACUGAAGCUGACGUUGAGGCUCGAAAGCGUGGGGAGCACACAGGAUUAGAUACCCCAGUAGUC
Molecule: ribosomal RNA, 440 nt
Filed under: uncultured bacterium
Lineage: Bacteria
Description: partial 16S ribosomal RNA
Rfam family: Bacterial small subunit ribosomal RNA
Source: RNAcentral